UUGAUGAACGCUGGCGGCGUGCUUAACACAUGCAAGUCGAACGAAGCGCUUAAACGGAUUUCUUCGGAUUGAAGUUUUUGCGACUGAGUGGCGGACGGGUGAGUAACGCGUGGGUAACCUGCCUCAUACAGGGGGAUAACAGUUAGAAAUGACUGCUAAUACCGCAUAAGCGCACAGUGCUGCAUGGCACAGUGUGAAAAACUCCGGUGGUAUGAGAUGGACCCGCGUCUGAUUAGCUAGUUGGUGGGGUAACGGCCUACCAAGGCGACGAUCAGUAGCCGGCCUGAGAGGGUGAACGGCCACAUUGGGACUGAGACACGGCCCAAACUCCUACGGGAGGCAGCAGUGGGGAAUAUUGCACAAUGGGGGAAACCCUGAUGCAGCGACGCCGCGUGAGCGAAGAAGUAUUUCGGUAUGUAAAGCUCUAUCAGCAGGGAAGAAAAUGACGGUACCUGACUAAGAAGCACCGGCUAAAUACGUGCCAGCAGCCGCGGUAAUACGUAUGGUGCAAGCGUUAUCCGGAUUUACUGGGUGUAAAGGGAGCGUAGACGGUUGUGUAAGUCUGAUGUGAAAGCCCGGGGCUCAACCCCGGGACUGCAUUGGAAACUAUGUAACUAGAGUGUCGGAGAGGUAAGCGGAAUUCCUAGUGUAGCGGUGAAAUGCGUAGAUAUUAGGAGGAACACCAGUGGCGAAGGCGGCUUACUGGACGAUCACUGACG
This 719-nucleotide ribosomal RNA is filed under the name uncultured organism. RNAcentral describes it as "SSU rRNA". It matches the Rfam family "Bacterial small subunit ribosomal RNA", at positions 26 to 745 of the family's 1533-position model. The record is from RNAcentral.